UCCAGCCGGGCCUGCGCUUAAGUGCGCGGUCUUGCUAGGCUUGUAAGAACGUAGAGUUAAGGUGCCGGAAUACACGCUCAUCAGACACCACAAAAGGUGUUAGUUCAUCUAGACAGCCGGACGGUGGCCAUGGAAGUCGGAAUCCGCUAAGGAGUGUGUAACAACUCACCGGCCGAAUGAACUAGCCCUGAAAAUGGAUGGCGCUCAAGCGUGUUACCUAUACUCUACCGUCAGGGUUGAUAUGAUGCCCUGACGAGUAGGCAGGCGUGGAGGUCAGUGACGAAGCCUAGACCGUAAGGUCGGGUCGAACGGCCUCUAGUG
RNAcentral lists this ribosomal RNA (321 nucleotides) under Saccharomyces cerevisiae (brewer's yeast). RNAcentral's name for it is "Eukaryotic large subunit ribosomal RNA". It matches the Rfam family "Eukaryotic large subunit ribosomal RNA", at positions 1121 to 1444 of the family's 3401-position model. The record is from RNAcentral. Lineage: Eukaryota; Fungi; Ascomycota; Saccharomycetes; Saccharomycetales; Saccharomycetaceae.